CCUACGGGAGGCAGCAGUGGGGAAUAUUGGGCAAUGGGCGCAAGCCUGACCCAGCAACGCCGCGUGAAGGAAGAAGGCUUUCGGGUUGUAAACUUCUUUUCUGAGGGACGAAGAAAGUGACGGUACCUCAGGAAUAAGCCACGGCUAACUACGUGCCAGCAGCCGCGGUAAUACGUAGGUGGCAAGCGUUAUCCGGAUUUAUUGGGUGUAAAGGGCGUGUAGGCGGGAAAGCAAGUCAGAUGUGAAAACUCAGGGCUCAACCCUGAGCCUGCAUAUGAAACUGUUUUACUUGAGUGCUGGAGAGGCAAUCGGAAUUCCGUGUGUAGUAGUGAAAUGCGUAGAUAUACGGAGGAACACCAGUGGCGAAGGCGGAUUGCUGGACAGUAACUGACGCUGAGGCGCGAAGGCGUGGGGAGCGAACAGGAUUAGAUACCCCAGUAGUC
RNAcentral lists this ribosomal RNA (443 nucleotides) under uncultured bacterium. Its description in RNAcentral is "partial 16S ribosomal RNA". It matches the Rfam family "Bacterial small subunit ribosomal RNA", at positions 338 to 795 of the family's 1533-position model. The record is from RNAcentral.